GUGGCUUUCAAGUUGUCAAAGAGAAAACUUGAUGACAACCUGCAUAUGCUUCAUACUUUACUGUUUGGAAAGAAAACAAAGGCACACAAUUUAAAGAGAAAUAUAGGCCAAUUUUCUGGUUAUGUGUGGACUGAAAAUGAGGACAAACAGAGGGCCAAGAUAAAGGAGAAGUUUGACAAAUUUGUCAAAGAAAAGUUGUUGGACUUUUGUGAUGUUCUUAAUAUUCAAAUAAACAAGACCAAUGUGAAGAAGG
Molecule: long non-coding RNA, 253 nt
Organism: Glycine soja
Lineage: Eukaryota; Viridiplantae; Streptophyta; Magnoliopsida; Fabales; Fabaceae
Exons: 3
Source: RefSeq, a predicted model, not a curated record